UCAAAGUAGGCAAAUCCGCUUUGAUAAUGCUGGGAUGUGAUGGGGAGCGAAAUUUAGUAGCGAAGUAGCUGAUUUCACACUGUCAAGAAAAGUCUCUAGCGAGGUUAAAGGUACCCGUACCGCAAACAGACACAGGUGGGUGAGGAGAGUAUCCUAAGGCCAGCGAGAGAACUGUUGUUAAGGAACUCGGCAAAAUGACCCCGUAACUUAGGGAUAAGGGGUGCCA
RNAcentral lists this ribosomal RNA (226 nucleotides) under Clostridioides difficile. RNAcentral describes it as "partial 23S ribosomal RNA". It matches the Rfam family "Bacterial large subunit ribosomal RNA", at positions 1527 to 1753 of the family's 2925-position model. Lineage: Bacteria; Bacillati; Bacillota; Clostridia; Peptostreptococcales; Peptostreptococcaceae. The record is from RNAcentral.